Thalassophryne amazonica is the source of this 166-nucleotide long non-coding RNA. RefSeq lists it as uncharacterized. The transcript is spliced from 4 exons. NCBI's taxonomy places the organism in Eukaryota, Metazoa, Chordata, Actinopteri, Batrachoidiformes, Batrachoididae. The record is from RefSeq and is a predicted model, not a curated record.
UUAUUUUCAUGAAAAGCAUCUGUUAAGUUAUGUCUUUAUAUAACGUCUGAGUGGAUCUUUUCAUUUGAUUGGUGCUUUGUAUGUCACGUGACAUGGAUUAUUCAUUCCAUUUACCGUGCAAAUUUGGUUCCAUACAUUUUGUAUCAUUGCACGCUGUGAACCCCGC